This 704-nucleotide long non-coding RNA is filed under the name Equus caballus (horse). Its description in RNAcentral is "lncRNA (ENSECAG00000051737.1)". Lineage: Eukaryota; Metazoa; Chordata; Mammalia; Perissodactyla; Equidae. The record is from RNAcentral.
GGUAUUUGGAAAGGAGCUAAAUAACCUGGAGUGCUGGUAUUCUAAAUUGCUGGCUGAGGGCCCAUCCAUAUGCUUUGGAACUGAGACCAGCAAGGAGCGAGGAAUUCCUUCUGUGACAUUGCUGAAACUGAUCAUCCACCCACGACUUGAACUUUUGCAGCUCUGGAGAACUUAUUACUUCAGGGAAAGCUGAGAUCUACAGUCUGAACUAGACCGAACACGGCUCUGGGCCUCAGGGCAAACGUACUACAAGAGAGAAGAAUGAAUAAAUAUUUCCUCAUUACAUUAGCUCCAUCCAAGUGUGCGGAUCUGGAUCCCCUGCAUCUAAGAUUACUUAAGACAAAGUUUUAAAUCGCUCCAGGGAUGCUGCUAUCCUGUUAACCCUUUUUUGAGACUGAAGAAUGGCAGAUGACUGAGAAGUGAAAGGGUAAGUCUGGUUUUAUAUGUAUACAAAAUCAUUGGCUGAAAAGACCAGUUGAUACAGAUCCAGAAGAAAGAAGCAGCCUACUGAAUUACAUACAGACAGCCUUGAAAAUGUGUUUUCAGACUAGACUUUCCUGUGCUACUCUGAGAAUCACAGACUAGAGAGAGUGUCUCAGAAUCACAGAGUAAGCAAGCACUGGAACUGGAAGGGACCCUGGAGAUAUGUAUUCUUCCUAUAAAUUGGUCCACAAACUGUUUUUAGCCUCAUAACCUUUUUUUCC